AGAGUUUGAUCCUGGCUCAGGACAAACGCUGGCGGCGUGUAUUAGGCAUGCAAGUCGCACGGCACUUCGGUGCAGUGGCGGACGGGUGAGUAACACGUGGGUAACCUGCCCCGUAGUGGGGAAUAACUCGUCGAAAGGCGAGCUAAUACCGCAUAUAACUUCCGGUGAGAAUCCGGAGAGUAAAAGCAGCAAUGCGCUACGGGAGGGGCCCGCGGUCGAUUAGCUUGUUGGUGGGGUAACGGCCUACCAAGCCGACGAUCCGUAGCUGGUUUGAGAGGAUGAUCAGCCACACUGGGACUGAGACACGGCCCAGACUCCUACGGGAGGCAGCAGUGGGGAAUCUUGGACAAUGGGGGCAACCCUGAUCCAGCCAUGCCGCGUGAACGAUGAAGGCCUUAGGGUUGUAAAGUUCUUUCACCGGGGAAGAUAAUGACGGUACCCGGAGAAGAAGCCCCGGCUAACUCCGUGCCAGCAGCCGCGGUAAUACGGAGGGGGCUAGCGUUGUUCGGAAUUACUGGGCGUAAAGCGCACGUAGGCGGACCAUUAAGUCGGGGGUGAAAUCCCGGGGCUCAACCCCGGAACUGCCUUCGAUACUGGUGGUCUGGAGGUCGAGAGAGGCGAGUGGAAUUCCGAGUGUAGAGGUGAAAUUCGUAGAUAUUCGGAGGAACACCAGUGGCGAAGGCGGCUCGCUGGCUCGAUACUGACGCU
Molecule: ribosomal RNA, 708 nt
Filed under: uncultured bacterium
Lineage: Bacteria
Description: bacterial SSU rRNA
Rfam family: Bacterial small subunit ribosomal RNA
Source: RNAcentral